This is a long non-coding RNA of Labeo rohita (rohu), 1374 nucleotides long. RefSeq lists it as uncharacterized. The record is from RefSeq and is a predicted model, not a curated record. The transcript is spliced from 3 exons. NCBI's taxonomy places the organism in Eukaryota, Metazoa, Chordata, Actinopteri, Cypriniformes, Cyprinidae.
AACCAUUAACUAAGGAUCUGUUAGAUUAUUUCAUGAUAUACUAUUUUUUUAAAGAUAACAUGACAGAUUUGGGGGGCAGCCGUGGCCUAAUAGUUAGGGAGUCAGGCUUGUAACCGAAAGGUUGCGGGUUCAAGUCCCAAGUCCAGCAGGGAUUGAAGGUGGAGAGACACUGGGUGAAUACCACGACUGAGGUGUGUUUGUUGAGUAAUGGCAGACGGUAAUGGAGAUGGAUGCCUUGAUGAAUCUAGAGGGUUGGAGAUCCACAUUGGAGCCUUAUGUGAUGCAGACCAGAAUGCAAACAAGGAGGGAGAACACCAAGUCAAAGUCAGGAAUGCUGGAGAUCAAGAUGGAGCAAGAGGGCUACAUAAUGUGGUGAUUCCAUUUGACCAGAGGGACAAAGUGAAGAUGGAAGAUCUGUGGAUGAGGUGGAGCCAUGAGGUGGAGCCACAAGGUGACACAAGAAGCAAGAAUAAGACAGUGGGAUACCUUAAUGGAGCCAGACAGAUGAACUCUCAUGCUGGACCCAGGGAGAUCAGACCAAGGCAGAGUCAGGAAGGUUGGACAUUAAGAUAGACUCAGAGGAGUGGAGAACAAGGGUAAUGCUGCUGAUCCAGAGGGCCAUGGUGGAGCCAGAAGAUGUGCAGACCAACGUGGAGAUGAUGGCAAUCAUGAUGAUAGUGGAGCUAGAGGGAUGAAGGGCCCCAGUGGAACCGAAGAUGGUGCAGGCAUAGCCAUAGGCCUGAAAGUCUGUUGUGGAGCCAGGAUGAUGACAAAGCAGAGUGGAGUCAGAAGGAUGAGGCACCCCGGUGAAGCAGGGGCUUGACAAGGCACAGUAGAGCCAAUGAAACAAAAACCAAGGUUGCCAAUGGCAACAAAAAUCUAAUUAAAAUUAAACAAAACUAAACAGCUUAGCAAACUGAGACAAUCAAUAGAAAUGAACUGAACAAACUGAGGACUUGAAAUACACAGAAAUAAAGAUGAAGCAAACUAAACACAAGUGAACAUAAUUGUUAACCAAGAAAACCAGCAAGUUUUCAGUUCUGCACUUGAGCUUUGGCUGUUAUGCAAAAACACACCACAAUGGGAGUUGCAACUAUGUCCUUAGGUACAUUUGUAAUGUGGAUAUAAAAAACAAAUAGCAUAUACACUUGCAAAUGCAAUAUAAUUUUGUUUACAUUGCAGUUACAAGUAUAUCUAAAAAUGCAUUAAAUACACAUUGUAUCCACCGUGAAAUACAAACUGAAAUAAAUAAAAAAAAGGGUUGUUUUUGGGACUACUGUCCUGUUGUGAACAAUUUCUGCCAUUAAUGACCUCAAGCAAGUAUGACUGUAAUCAUGACUAUGUAACAUCUGUGUCCUCACAGUAUUCCUACGA